Molecule: long non-coding RNA, 737 nt
Organism: Aedes aegypti (yellow fever mosquito)
Lineage: Eukaryota; Metazoa; Arthropoda; Insecta; Diptera; Culicidae
Exons: 5
Source: RefSeq, a predicted model, not a curated record
AAAGUUGCCCUUUUUUAAAAAAAAAGUUCACUUUUAUUGCCGGUUUCCUGCGCCGCUGUUGCUCUACUGUCGUUCCUGCUCUACUAUUCCGUUCCUGCUCCGUUGAUAUCGAGCUAUUCCGGCUCUGCAGAACUACCGCCGUUUCAUUCUGUUCCUUUCCUGCCGUGGCUGUUGCCCGUUCCGGCUCCUGUGUACCCGUUCCGGCUCCGCAUUGAGGGAAAAUUCUUCCGGCUCCGCUCUACUAACUACCGCCGUUUUAUUGUCCCAGUGCCACUGUCGCCAUUCCCGCCGCGGCUGUUGCCGUCCAAUAGGUGCAUCCGUUCCGGCUCCGCAUUGAAUGACCAGCUCCGCCCUACCAACUACCGCUCCCGAUUUUGUUGCCGUUCCGGACGUUUCGUUUUCAGCCUUGGCUGGUUCCGCCCAGUAGGUGUUCCCGUUCCGACUUCCCCCACAACUACCGAACGCAGGUGAUAUAGAAGGGAGGAUCGAGCGGCAACUGAACCAUCUCCGCGAAAAAAUUGGGGAAUCAUCGCUACAACCUCAAAUUGUCGCAGUGGGCACGAGCAACGAUGGUUAUUUUUGGCGGCGCGGAGUAUAUCGCAGAUAAUAUUGUGCAUGCUGUAUGCAUUUGUAUGCAUAUCACUUAUGUGCUAAAUUUGCGAUAUACUCCGGACUGCAAACCGCUGUGGCUCUUUGUUCAGUCAUACCUGUUAAAAAUCCCGGCGUCCAUUAUUGAG